RNAcentral lists this ribosomal RNA (432 nucleotides) under uncultured bacterium. RNAcentral describes it as "partial 16S ribosomal RNA". It matches the Rfam family "Bacterial small subunit ribosomal RNA", at positions 29 to 507 of the family's 1533-position model. The record is from RNAcentral.
AACGAACGCUGGCGGCAUGCCUAACACAUGCAAGUCGAACGAUCCCUUCGGGGAUAGUGGCGCACGGGUGCGUAACGCGUGGGAACCUGCCCUUAGGUUCGGAAUAACUCAGAGAAAUUUGAGCUAAUACCGGAUAAUGUCUUCGGACCAAAGAUUUAUCGCCUUUGGAUGGGCCCGCGUUGGAUUAGCUAGUUGGUGGGGUAAAGGCCUACCAAGGCGACGAUCCAUAGCUGGUCUGAGAGGAUGAUCAGCCACACUGGGGCUGGGACACGGCCCAAACUCUUGCGGAAGGCCGCAGGGGGGAUUAUGGAACAAUGGGCGAAGGCAGAAGCCAGCAGGGCCGGAAAGUUAUUGAGGGCCUAAGGAUUAUAAGCUCUUUUACCCGGGAUGAUAAUGACAGUACCGGGAGAAUAAGCCCCGGCUAACUCCGUG